UUUUGUUUUUGUUUUUGUUUUUUGUCUUUUUGAGACGGGGUCUUAUCGUGCAAUUCAGGCUGGCCUUGGGCUCACUUUGUAGCCCAGGCUAGUGUCGAACUCGCAACGAUCCUCCUGCUUCAGCCUCCCGAGUGCUAGAUGCAGCCCAGAGCCUCCCAGUGAGGGCAAGUGCCCGCAGCUCAGCCGCAGCCCCACCCACACCCCCAGCCCCUAGCGGAAGUCUUUCCAUGCAAAUUAGGAUGACGUCAGUCACUUCACAUUCAUUGGCUACCAGGAUGAUGACGAAGGUGGUAGGGCGUGGCCUGGCGGCACACACCUGUCAUCCUAGUUUGUCUGCACAAAAAAUAAAGAGGAACCUAAACCCCAGCCCUAGCUCAGCAGCAAUGUGCACAAAGCUCGUCCGGAGAGAGUUUCUCUUCUCCGUUUCCCCAGCUGCAGAAGGCGGGGGCUGAGCUGAAGGUUACAUCAGACCCCUGCCGGCAGCAAACACGGAAGUUAAUGUUUAACCCUCGGAAAUCAGACGCGCUGGUGGCCGCCCCAGGCUGUUAAAGAUGCCAGCCGAGCUGAUCGAGCUUCGUGGGCAGAGCCGGAAGACCCAGCCUCGGCCCCAGCCAUGACUCAGGUCAUGAGACGAAGUUACAACACCCAAGAGGAGCUGCAGAAGUUGCACGGAGCUGCGUGACCUCUGCGGACUCGCACAUCCUGUUCCCUGCUUGGCGCUUCCCACAUUCCUUCCUCCCUCUGAGUACUGAAGCACCUGGUUUCAUCCUCCUGCCUCAGCCUCCCAGAGUACCCCGGUGACAGGGCCUGCACCACUCUGCCUGGCUAGCCCAUGUUUUUUUAAUGAAAUAUCCUUAUCUUCCUGAUUGUGCUCUUUGCUUCGUUCAAUCCAGACCCUGGAUAGAUGUUUGUUGAAUGAAUAUUUAUAAGUUAGUGCACUAUUGAGCACUCACUGUGUAGUCCAGGCUGGUCUCGAACUCACAAUGAUCCUCCUGCCUCAGCCUCCCAAGUGCUGGGAUGACAGGCGUGCAGUAGCUGUGUCCUCUGUUCCAGGGUUACAGGGGUCCACCACCACACACACAGACUUGGCACAUUUUUUUUGGUACCAGGAUUUGAACUCAGGACCUCACACUUGCCAGGCAGGCGCUGUGCCACUGAGCCACACCCUCGGCAUGUCACGUUUUGAAGUUGAGUCUGCAUUAUUUACUGUUCCACUUUCUUAAGUCUAGACCACAAAUUGCCAUGCUAUGACCUAGCACUUGUUCAUGAAAAUAAAGUUUUAUUGGCACACACCACAAA
Long non-coding RNA from Cavia porcellus (domestic guinea pig), 1299 nucleotides. RefSeq lists it as uncharacterized. Lineage: Eukaryota; Metazoa; Chordata; Mammalia; Rodentia; Caviidae. The record is from RefSeq and is a predicted model, not a curated record. The transcript is spliced from 2 exons.